GAUUUGCAGAUAUAUUUAUCAAGGUGUUUUUGACUACUAUUUAAAAGAGUUAGUUCAUCAUAUUGGACUACACCAUUUUAAAGAACUCAAGUGGUGUUCACAUGAGUGAAUAUUAAUGCUCUGCAUUCCUUUUCUCUUAAACAUAAUUUUUUCAUUGGAUUUUUCUAGUAGGAUUUUUAAUGAGUUAGCAUCUUUACGCUUUAUAGAGUGUUUUAUAUAAUGGGCAUCUAAAAAGAAAUGUAAUGAAUUUUUAGAUAUGGAUGUCUAUCAUGAAUUAUAUCAAAAUUCUAGAUAUACUUUUAUUUCAAGAUGUACUUAUUCUCCAAAUAUUAUAUUUUUAUAUAUAUGAUUUACUAUGGAAUAAUACACUAGGGAGUUACUCUCUUUCUCACACCCACCCACAACAGUCCUUCAAAAAAAUCUCUCUAGAAAUGUCUCUCUGCCUGCUCUCUACUUCAUCUAUUAAGAUACUUUUCAACGACCGGGGCUUGGCUUCCCUUGCCACCGUCGGUCCGAUCAGUAUCUAUAAUUUCAGAUUUGGAGGAUCAAUUGAGGUAUUUUGGUGGUGGCUUAUUUGUGUGGUGCGGUUCUCCGCUCCAUCUCUGCUUCAAAUUCUAGGUUGCUAGUGGUGGAUCUAUAGAGUAUCGAUUCCUUCCUGCUGUUGGGCCUUGGUCUCUAUUCCGCAGGUGCUUUCCUCGGUCGUUUCUGGUGGUCCCAUUGAAUUUUGUUGGUUGCUCUUCCUUGAUCUAGUUAGCAAUGAAAUAUAUCUGUUGGUGGUUGGUUUAUCUUGUGGUUUGAGUUGGUUUCUCUGGCUUGAUUUCAAGGAAGAAGGGUUUCAGCUCUUUUUAGCAUUGUGUCGUGGGUGGUUGAAGUUUAAUGGUGUGUCUUUUCUUUUCCCUGGUGUUGGUUCUCUGAUGUCUACCUCGUGGCUCCUGGUGUGUCUCUAGAGCAGUGUAGUGAGGUGCAGUCUCUGUUCUUCCCCAAAUAAAGUUUGGCUUUCGAUGUCUCUCUCUCCAUUCCUCCUUCUCCGACGGUUUCAUUUGCUAGGGUUUUAUGGCUUUGAUUUUGACAUGGGUCUAUAACUUGUUCUAGUCAUUUGUUUUAUGUUAUGUUUUUUGGUAUCAGAGAAUAUGUUGAUUUUGUUGACUUUUGUUUCUAGAAGAAGUUGUUUGUUUUUGUCAGUUUUAGGCCCUGAGACUUGAGAGUAUAUAUUAUCCGUUAGAUUAGUAUCUCAAAAAUAUAUUUUUUCUGAUGUAUUUUUCUAAGUUCAAUGAAAAUUCUAGUGUGAAAAAGGAGUUAUUCUCUUUC
Long non-coding RNA from Brassica napus (rape), 1308 nucleotides. RefSeq lists it as uncharacterized. The transcript has 2 exons. The record is from RefSeq and is a predicted model, not a curated record. NCBI's taxonomy places the organism in Eukaryota, Viridiplantae, Streptophyta, Magnoliopsida, Brassicales, Brassicaceae.